GGCAGCAGUGGGGAAUCUUCCGCAAUGGGCGCAAGCCUGACGGAGCAACGCCGCGUGAGUGAAGAAGGCCUUCGGGUUGUAAAACUCUGUCAUCAGGGAAGAAGAAAGUGACGGUACCUGAGGAGGAAGCCCCGGCUAACUACGUGCCAGCAGCCGCGGUAAAACGUAGGGGGCGAGCGUUGUCCGGAAUUACUGGGCGUAAAGGGCGCGUAGGCGGUUAUCCAAGUCAGGGGUGAAAACCUUGGGCUCAACUCAGGGCCUGCCUCUGAAACUGGGUAACUUGAGGGCAGGAGAGGGGAGUGGAAUUCCCAGUGUAGCGGUGAAAUGCGUAGAUAUUGGGAGGAACACCAGUGGCGAAGGCGGCUCUCUGGCCUAACCCUGACGCUGAGGCGCGAAAGCGUGGGGAUCAAACAGGAUUAGAUACCCUGGUAGUCCACGCCGUAAACGAUGAGUACUAAGUGU
RNAcentral lists this ribosomal RNA (462 nucleotides) under uncultured Bacillota bacterium. Its description in RNAcentral is "bacterial SSU rRNA". It matches the Rfam family "Bacterial small subunit ribosomal RNA", at positions 347 to 823 of the family's 1533-position model. Lineage: Bacteria; Bacillati; Bacillota. The record is from RNAcentral.